This 1154-nucleotide long non-coding RNA is filed under the name Homo sapiens (human). Its description in RNAcentral is "HSALNT0304758". The record is from RNAcentral. Lineage: Eukaryota; Metazoa; Chordata; Mammalia; Primates; Hominidae.
UUACCCAUCAGUGAGUGGCAAAACUGGGAAAAACCCCAGCUCAGCUUGAUCUGGAAACCUUGGCCUCAUUUCACCCGGCACAGUGCCUCUGCAGAGACAGAGGGCUCCUUUGUGGAGCCCUCGAGUGCUAGACGGACCCACAAAAUUACUCAUCAGCUGCAGGUCCUCUCCCUCCCUUGUCCCCACACCACCUCCCAGGUCCUCUCCCUCUCUAGAAGAAAUGGUCCAAGUUACAAGGCAGACACUACUGAAGCUCCAGAGAAGUCUCAGUAGCUUCUAGUUUCUGGCAUUUUGGUCACUGGCAUUUGGCAAAAUGGCCCUUGAUUUAACCAUAAAAGAGGAAUUUGCUGAUACUCAACCAGUCCGCCCCGACUAGUUGUGGACGAUGUCUGCCAGCUGCCUACAGAAUCCACCCUUUUCCUUUGGAAUUCCCUCCUUCUCCUGACGCUGACAAUACCCUUGCCCUUCAGAGGACCUGCCUUCCCACUCUCCAUUGGACACUGUGGAACUUCUUGGCGUCCAGUCCCAAGGGCACAGCCACCGCAGGACUUCACGUCUGCCUGCCUGAGCAGGGCUGGUGUCUUAUGAAUGGCAGCUGAGACCCAGUUCAGGCUCACGACCUCAUAUCACAGGUCAGAAAACAAAAGAACAAUUGAGUUCUUAUGAAAACUUGCCAGAUUUCCAUACAAAAGUUUCCUUCUUGAAAUCCCUUUUUUUUUUUUUUUUUUACUUUUCAUCAUAGAAAUGAACUCAAAGGAAAAUGACUAAUCACCGACCUACUCAGAAUCAUUGGUCCCCGGCAAGCAAGGGUGAUCCUGCAUCAAUCUAUUAAUUUUCAUUUCCAGGGUUCUCAGAUGUAAAACAAAUGUUUGAUGUAAUCCGCAACACUGCUCUGUUAUAAUUAAACAACCUCCUACUGCCUAAAUUGGCAAAGCACUCCAUCGAUCAGUGAUAAAUGUGGUCCUUGGGAGACUGCUUUUAUGUUUGUUUCACUCAUGGGAAAAUGGCCACAACCCUUUUGUAAGAUUCCUCGGCUGCUGCUCUCCCCAGGUUACAAUCAUAGUAACUGCUGCUUCUGGGAUGCCUCGCUGUAAUCCUCAUGUUCAAUGAUGGCUCAAUGGAUAUGUGCUUGAAGGAGAGUGAGUGAUGGGGAG